Molecule: non-coding RNA, 28 nt
Filed under: Cricetulus griseus (Chinese hamster)
Lineage: Eukaryota; Metazoa; Chordata; Mammalia; Rodentia; Cricetidae
Source: RNAcentral
CGGACAAGAACCGAGAGAAGUCCAGGGC